CCCUUAGAUGUUCGGAGCCGCACGCGCGCUACACUGAAGGAAUCAGCACGUCUUUCUCCUUGUCCGAAAGGACUGGGUAACCCGCUGAACCUCCUUCGUGCUAGGGAUUGGGGCUUGUAAUUCUUCCCCAUGAACGAGGAAUUCCCAGUAAGCGCGAGUCAUAAGCUCGCGUUGAUUACGUCCCUGCCCUUUGUACACACCGCCCGUCGCUACUACCGAUUGGAUGGUUUAGUGAGAUCCUCGGAUUGGUCCCGGCGCGGCCUCUGGUCGUGCCGGAGUGCCGAAAAGAAUGUCGAACUUGAUCAUCUAGAGGAAGUAAAAGUCGUAACA
Molecule: ribosomal RNA, 330 nt
Filed under: uncultured eukaryote
Lineage: Eukaryota
Description: partial 18S ribosomal RNA
Rfam family: Eukaryotic small subunit ribosomal RNA
Source: RNAcentral